RNAcentral lists this transfer RNA (79 nucleotides) under Escherichia coli O157:H7 str. EC4206. Its description in RNAcentral is "tRNA-Arg". It matches the Rfam family "tRNA". From Rfam's summary of the family: Transfer RNA (tRNA) molecules are approximately 80 nucleotides in length. Their secondary structure includes four short double-helical elements and three loops (D, anti-codon, and T loops). The record is from RNAcentral. Lineage: Bacteria; Pseudomonadati; Pseudomonadota; Gammaproteobacteria; Enterobacterales; Enterobacteriaceae. RNAcentral also lists the same sequence under 11 other names.
ACCGCCAUUAGCUCAUCAGGAAAGAGCGCCAGCUUUCGAAGCUGGUUGCGCGGAGUUCGGGUCCCCGAAGGCGGUCCAU